RNAcentral lists this long non-coding RNA (5762 nucleotides) under Trifolium pratense (red clover). RNAcentral's name for it is "long non-coding RNA (TPRA_LNC006953)". Lineage: Eukaryota; Viridiplantae; Streptophyta; Magnoliopsida; Fabales; Fabaceae. The record is from RNAcentral.
AGUUUCAUGCAGAAUUCUUUAGCAAUGUGUGUGUGGUUAAUUUUUAUUGCUAGAUUGCUUCCUAAGUUUCUAGCACAUGUGAAUAACUUAUUUAUUAAAUUUAUCUGCAUAAAAAAACUUGUGUUUGAGUCCUCUUCAUCUCGGUUAUUCUUUUCUCAAGACUGCGCUAUUCUAGUGAAUUUGUGAGUUCAAGUUUUUUAAUAACUGAUUUUGACAUCUCUUUGUUCAGAUGAAUUCAGUAGGGAUCCUUUGAGGGUUGAGUUUUCGGACGAUGGAGAUGAGAAGCCCAUUGAUCCCAUAUCUGAUAUUGGCAUCGACAGAAUCAAUGAUGCUAUGUUCAAUAAUUCAACCUAACGAUCACACAUUCAAACCUGUUUCCAAUUGUAUGGUGGAUAUUCUGCCAAGCAGUUGCUGCUGAUGUUGAGUUCUAACAUGUGAUUAUCAAUUUCUUUACCGGAAUUACAAUAUUAUUAUCAUCUUUUCAAAUGAUAAGAAAAAAGAAAUGUAUUUUUUUUAACUCAUGUGCCUUCGCAACUUGUUUAUUUUUCUCACUCUCGUGUACCUUCACAACUUGGUUUUUCUUCCUCACUGUCAUGUACAACAACACUAAUUGUGUGUACCGUUUUGAUGAGCCAACUUUGAAAAGUUAGAUGACAACUAUAACCAUUCAUUUUAAAGAUAAGAGCUAUGUUAUAUGAAUAAUUUUCUCCGGACAAAAAUACGACAAUCAUAUUCUAAUUCUCUCUAUGCACGGUUUCCAAAAUGUGCAUAAAGUAUUCAAAAAAUUAAAAAAGUGGCAUGGAUGCAUAAGUUGUUCUUUUGUUUGAAAAUGGGUUGUUCAAAUAACAUUUUUCUAAAGAUAAUCAUCAAAAACAAAUAAUUUAGCAUAUUCAUCUUUCAAGAGCAAAGUUAUCUCCCAUCGAAUUCCGGAUACUCUAAGUUUAAAAGUGAAAUUCUAGCCAUUAAACUAAUUGAAAAAAGAAAAUCAAUCAUUUCAACUUCCAAAUGUCUUGCAACCAAAAGAAUGUCUACUAGGAGAUGAGUUGAUGCAGGUCAAGAAGGGCGAGGCAGUUGCAGAAGGAGUUUUUCACAGAUGGAUUAACCACUUGUACACUUUGCAAUAUUAUAUUCAAUGUAAUCUUUUUUAUAUCGUUAACUAAUGUCCCGGAGGUACUAGUUAGUUGACUCUUAUUUUGUAACUUUUUUCUCAACUUGUCUUUGAUACUAAUUAUCGUUCUUUAGAGGAGCCAACUUUUGAAAACUUACACAACAACUAUAACCAUUCAAUUUAUAGAUAAUAUCUGAAAAGAAAUAAUUUAUCAUAUUCAUCUUCAAGAGCUAAACUUUGAUUCAUUCCAAUUCUCAUACACCUGAAAAUGGCUUUCCAUUUAGUAGGAACUUUGAUUUCACAACUGGCACCUUAUGUCCAAGAGGAGUAUGCAACAUUUAAAGGUGUUAACAAACAUGCUGAAAAGCUAUCAAGAAAUCUCACUACUAUUCGUGCUGUCCUAGAAGAUGCUGAGAAGAAGCAAAUCACAAGUCAUGCAGUUAAAGAUUGGCUGCUCAACCUAACUGGUGCAGCACAUAUUCUUGAUGAUAUAUUGGACGAAUGUUCGAUACUUUCCGAAGCAAACAGAGACAAAUACUUCAUCAACCAUCCUAAGAAGCUAUAUGCUUGUCGUAGGAUUGGAAAGAAGAUGAAAAAUGUUGCUGAAAGGAUUGAUGAUGCUGUUGCUGAAGUAAGGGGCAAGUUAGGAUUAUUAAUUAAUCCCAGAACCAUGGAGGAUCGUCUUGAAGAUGAUGUAUGGCGCGAAACUACCUCUGUCAUCAUUGAAUUCCAAAUUCAUGGAAGAGAUGAGGAUAGGGAGAAGGUUGUUGACUUUCUUCUCAAGCAUGCUUGUGACAGAGAAGAACUCUCUGUAUAUUCCAUUGUUGGCCAUGGCGGAUAUGGAAAAACAGCACUUGCUCAACUGGUCUUCAAUGAUAAAAGGGUAAAUGCUCACUUUCCUUUGAAAAUAUGGGUUUGUGUUUCUAAUGAUUUUAAUAUGAUGAAACUUUUCCGGUCCAUCAUAGAAAUCGUAGACGGAAAAAAUCCAGAUCUCAUUUCUUUAGAAUCAAUGCAAAGAAAGGUUCAACAGAUUUUCCAAAACAAAAAGUAUUUACUUGUCCUUGAUGAUGUUUGGAGUGAAGACCCAGAGAAAUGGAGCAGGUUCAAGUAUCCGUUGCAAAAUGGAACAAAAGGUGCAUCAAUUUUAGUCACUACGUGACUUGAGACUGUUGCAAACAUUCUGGGACCUCAUCCUGCUCAUCAUUUGGUAGGUUUAUCAGAUGAUGAUAUUUGGUCAUUGUUUAGACAACAAGCUUUUGGACCAAACGAGGAAGAGCGUGCAGAGCUUGUAAAGAUUGGGAAGGUUAUAGUGAGGAAAUGUAAUGGUUCGCCUCUUGCCACCAAAGUACUAGGAAAAACUGGCAAACACCAAUGGGAUUCUAUAGCGAAAAGUGAGAUUUGGAACUUAUAUGAUGAUGCUACCAAGUCUGCUUUGACUUUUUGUGCUAUAUUUGCUAAAGGUUUUGAAAUGGUGAAGGAAGAUCUAAUUCAUCUUUGGAUGGCCAAUGGACUUAUGAACUAUAUCAAAGAUCAUUUUUUCAAGAAGUCAAAACGCAUAGAAAAGGUAAAGUUACAUUCAAAAUGCAUGAUAUAUUCCACGAUAUUGCUACCUCCAUUAUGGGAAAACAAUGCGUAGCUUCAAAGGCUGCUAGCUUGACUAAUUUGUCAGAAAGAGUUCAUCAUAUUAGGUUUUUAGAUGGUGAUGAAAAAUUCAAAUACAGCUUGAUUCCGUUCAAGAAAGUGGAAUCUUUGCGAACUGUUCUUGACUUUGGUUUGCCUAAAUCAAAUUUAAGUGUGUUUCCAUCAAUCACUCCUCUCCGAGUAUUAAGUACAUGCUGUUCUCAACUCUCAGCCUUGAAGAAUUUUAUCCAUUUGAACUUUAUGCAAGUGACAUUAAAAUUCUGCCUGAGUCUAUUUGUAGCCUAAGAAAAUUACAAACACUAAAACUUGUUUAUUGUAACAAGCUUAUUAGUCUUCCCAAACAAUUGUCGCAACUAAAAGAUCUCCGACAUCUCAUGAUUACACGGUGUCCCUCAUUGAGAUCAAUGCCGUCUAAUAUUGGAGAGUUAACUCGUUUGAGAACAUUAAGCACUUUUAUUGUUGGUUCGGAGGCUAGGUUUGGUUUAGCAGAGCUACAAAAUUUACAACUAGGAGGCAAGCUACACAUCAAAUGCCUUGAGAAUGUUUCGAAUGAAACAGAAGCUAGAAAAGCUGAUUUAAUUGGUAAGAAGGACUUAAGUCGCUUAUACUUGUCGUGGCGUAUUAAUGCUAAUUCACAAGUUAGUGAUACUGGCGCUGAGCAAGUCCUUGAAGCCCUUGAGCCUCACACAGGUCUCAAAUGUUUUGGAAUGGAGGGUUAUAAGGGAGUAAGUAUUCCAAAUUGGAUGAGAAAGGCUUCAAUUUUGGAAGGUCUGGUUGAUGUUACACUUUACAACUGUAGAAACUGUGAGCGGCUUCCUCCACUUGGUAAAUUACCAUGUUUAACAACUCUGUAUGUGUCUGACAUGGAAGCUGUGAAGUACAUUGAUGUUGACUUGUAUGAAGGUGCGACCAAUAAGGCUUUUUCAUCGUUAAAGAAAAUGAAGUUACAUAAUUUACCAAAAUUAGAGAGGGUGUUGAAAGCUGAAGGAGUAGAAGUGCUAUCACAAUUUUCUGACUUGGAAAUAAAGGGGGUCCGUAAGCUUGCAUUUCCAUCCCUUCCAUCUGUUGAGACUUUUAAUGCUCUUGGGAAUACUGAAUAUUCCAAUAAUGGUGAUGGUGGUGCAUCUAUCCUGAGGGGAAUUGCUGGUAGUAUACAUAAUCUCAAAAAACUUUCCAUUGUAUGCUUUUAUGAACUCAAGGUACUACCUAAUGAAUUCAGCUCUCUCAGUUCCCUAAAAGAACUACACAUUUCAGGUUGUAAUAAGGUUGUAAUAAGCUUGAGUCUAUCCCCAAGUGUGUACUUCAAGGUUUGAGUUCUCUUCAAGUUUUGAAAUUUACAUUUUGCAUUAGCUUAAAAUCCUUGCCGGAAGGUAUGACAAACCUGACUUGUCUUGAGAGUCUUGAAAUCAUUGAUUGUUCCAAUCUCAUUUUACCAGCUACUAUGAACAAGCUAACUUCCCUUCGUCAAUUGACAAUCACCGGCAGAGAUAAAAAUGGAACUUUACCAAAUGGUUUAGAAGGUAUUCCCUCGCUGCAAAAUUUGUAUUUGUCAAGUUUUCUUUCUCUUGUAACCUUGCCAGACUGGAUGCCAAGAGCACUUUCAUUUUCUCACAGCCAGAAGCAUAUAUUCACUGCAGAAGCUAUCUGUAGUAGCUUUAAGUUUACUGAGGUAGCGGGGUUUCAGAGUUUAGUUCUCUUGUUAGUAUUAAACCUGAAAACUAUCAUGGUUUUCUAAAGAUUAAGUUUGUUAGGCAACAAACAAAUAUGGCUGCUCACUCUUUAACGAGGGCCGACAGUUCUUGGGCUUAGUUACCGUCUUGUUAGAUUUCUCCUCUAUUAUAUUGCAUCAGGUUGUAACACUGUUAUAUUGCAGAAUAUGGAAGGGUAAUUACAAUGUAAAUAAAGGAAUAGAGCAGACACAAUGAAGCAAUUUCUAGAUAAGGGAGAUCCUCUAUGGUAGAGCUAUUGGAUCUAGGUGCAAGGAAGUGCAGUUGUAUCUACCAUCUCUGCAAAUGCUAGUUGGCCUCAUAAACAAUGGUCUGUGUUUAGCAGGCUUCACCUUUAGCUAGAUGAAAGGUAUUCGAUUCAUUUUUGGCCUUGCAACUUUAGGAUUAGAUGCAUUUAAACUCCAACUGCCGGAGCAAGAUUGCAUUCACCAGUUUUUCAUUUUCCCGGUCGGAAAGGGUAGCAGAACAUAAAUCAAGUCAUUUUCCUGGUCGAAAAGGGUUGCUGGAGCAAGCUUGCAUACACUCAAUCCAUUUCAAAACUUAGUUUGUAAUUGAGAGGAAAAUUGACCAAAGAUGAUGCUAGAAAACUGGUUUAUUAAGAUGACCAUACAUUUCAAUGGAUUGUUUUGUUGCAAUUCAUUGUCUUCUCCUUUGUACGUUGCUAAUAUACAUUUGUGCUUAGUAGAUUUCAGAGUAUCCUAAUAGUAGAGAUAAAACAAGUUUCGUGUAUCUGAGGUAGCGAUGUAAUACUGAAAAUUUAGAAUUCACACGGCAUGACAGGCGGACAUUCUCUUUCCAAAAUCAAGCUGCUGCAAUUAUUAUUCCCAGCAUUGCAUCCAUCAAUGUCACAGAGAGGAUAACGGUUUCUUUCGGUGCUUCAAAUUCCAAUCAUGGUAGCUGCUGCUGGAUUCAUAUUGCCUACAAUGUAGAACAACCUUAUAUUUAUAUGUUAUAUGUAGAACAAAUCAAAUUAUAAGAUGGUAUCAUAGCCUAUUAUAGAUCCGUUUUUUUGGAUUUCUCGUCCACGCUUUAAGUGGUGCUAGCCGUGAGGGUUGUGUUGAAAAUUCGGUCUUAAUUGCAGUCCGCCCUUGGCCGCUUGAUGCAGUAUUUGGGUUGCCUUCAUUGCAGCUUCCAAAACCUUCAUUUUGUUGGGUGUGAGGAGGUGGGUUUAGUCCCACAUUACCUAGAUAUGGCCUUGGGCUUGGCCAUAUCUGACAUCGGCAUUGACAGAAUCAAUGAUGCUAUGUUCAAUAAUCCAACCUAACGAUCACACAUUCAAACCUGUU